Lates calcarifer (barramundi perch) is the source of this 486-nucleotide long non-coding RNA. RefSeq lists it as uncharacterized. NCBI's taxonomy places the organism in Eukaryota, Metazoa, Chordata, Actinopteri, Centropomidae. The transcript is spliced from 2 exons. The record is from RefSeq and is a predicted model, not a curated record.
GAAACCAUCAAAAAAUGUCAUAGUAUAGUAAGGCAUGAAAAAUGGUCAAAAAAUGUCAUAGUAUAGUAAGGUGUCAAAAAUUGUCAAAAAAUGUCAUAGUAUAGUAAGGCAGCAGAAACCCUCAAAAAAUGUCAUAGUAUAGCAAGGCAUGAAAAAUGGUCACAAAAUGUAAGGUGUCAAAAACUGUCAAAAAAAUGCCAUAGUAUAGUUAAGUGUCAAAAAUGGUCAAAAAAUGUAAGGUGUCAAAAACUGUUAAAAAAUGUCAUAGUAUAGUAAGGCGUCAGAAACCCUCAAAAAAUGUCAUGGUAGUAAGGCAUGAAAAAUGGUCCAAAAAAUGUUAUAGAAUAGUAAGGCGUCAAAAACCAUCGAAAAAUGUCAUAGUAGGGUGUCAAAAAUGGUCAAAAAAUGUCAUAGUAUAAUAAGGUGUCCGAAAUGGUCAAAACCAUCGAAAAAUGUCAUAGUAUAGUAAUAUGUCAAAAAAUGUCA